Molecule: ribosomal RNA, 231 nt
Filed under: uncultured bacterium
Lineage: Bacteria
Description: partial 16S ribosomal RNA
Rfam family: Bacterial small subunit ribosomal RNA
Source: RNAcentral
CAAUAUGUCAGCGGCAGACGGGUGAGUAACGCGUGGGAACGUACCUUUUGGUUCGGAACAACACAGGGAAACUUGUGCUAAUACCGGAUAAGCCCUUACGGGAAAGAUUUAUCGCCGAAAGAUCGGCCCGCGUCUGAUUAGCUAGUUGGUGAGGUAAUGGCUCACCAAGGCGACGAUCAGUAGCUGGUCUGAGAGGAUGAUCAGCCACAUUGGGACUGAGACACGGCCCAA